This 376-nucleotide ribosomal RNA is filed under the name Micrococcales bacterium. Its description in RNAcentral is "bacterial SSU rRNA". It matches the Rfam family "Bacterial small subunit ribosomal RNA", at positions 1 to 375 of the family's 1533-position model. Lineage: Bacteria; Bacillati; Actinomycetota; Actinomycetes; Micrococcales. The record is from RNAcentral.
UUUACGGAGAGUUUGAUCCUGGCUCAGGACGAACGCUGGCGGCGUGCUUAACACAUGCAAGUCGAACGAUGAAGCUGGAGCUUGCUCCGGUGGAUUAGUGGCGAACGGGUGAGUAACACGUGAGCAAUCUGCCCUUGACUCUGGGAUAACUGCGGGAAACUGUAGCUAAUACCGGAUACUUUCCUCGGUGGGCAUCCACUGGGGAAGAAAGAAUUUCGGUCAAGGAUGAGCUCGCGACCUAUCAGCUAGUUGGUGAGGUAAUGGCUCACCAAGGCGACGACGGGUAGCCGGCCUGAGAGGGUGACCGGCCACACUGGGACUGAGACACGGCCCAGACUCCUACGGGAGGCAGCAGUGGGGAAUAUUGCACAAUGGG